CCUACGGGAGGCAGCAGUGGGGAAUAUUGGACAAUGGGGGCAACCCUGAUCCAGCCAUGCCGCGUGUGUGAAGAAGGCCCUCGGGUUGUAAAGCACUUUCAGUGAGGAAGAACGCCUGGUGGUUAAUACCCAUCAGGAAAGACAUCACUCACAGAAGAAGCACCGGCUAACUCCGUGCCAGCAGCCGCGGUAAUACGGAGGGUGCGAGCGUUAAUCGGAAUUACUGGGCGUAAAGCGCGCGUAGGUGGCUUGAUAAGCCGGUUGUGAAAGCCCCGGGCUCAACCUGGGAACGGCAUCCGGAACUGUCAGGCUAGAGUGCAGGAGAGGAAGGUAGAAUUCCCGGUGUAGCGGUGAAAUGCGUAGAGAUCGGGAGGAAUACCAGUGGCGAAGGCGGCCUUCUGGACUGACACUGACACUGAGGUGCGAAAGCGUGGGUAGCAAACAGGAUUAGAUACCCCGGUAGUC
This 465-nucleotide ribosomal RNA is filed under the name Vreelandella stevensii. RNAcentral describes it as "partial 16S ribosomal RNA". It matches the Rfam family "Bacterial small subunit ribosomal RNA", at positions 338 to 795 of the family's 1533-position model. Lineage: Bacteria; Pseudomonadati; Pseudomonadota; Gammaproteobacteria; Oceanospirillales; Halomonadaceae. The record is from RNAcentral.